This 630-nucleotide ribosomal RNA is filed under the name Trichoderma koningiopsis. RNAcentral's name for it is "eukaryotic LSU rRNA". The stretch from base 252 to 405 matches the Rfam family "5.8S ribosomal RNA". Lineage: Eukaryota; Fungi; Ascomycota; Sordariomycetes; Hypocreales; Hypocreaceae. The record is from RNAcentral.
CUUGGUCAUUAGAGGAAGUAAAAGUCGUAACAAGGUCUCCGUUGGUGAACCAGCGGAGGGAUCAUUACCGAGUUUACAACUCCCAAACCCAAUGUGAACCAUACCAAACUGUUGCCUCGGCGGGGUCACGCCCCGGGUGCGUCGCAGCCCCGGAACCAGGCGCCCGCCGGAGGGACCAACCAAACUCUUUCUGUAGUCCCCUCGCGGACGUUAUUUCUUACAGCUCUGAGCAAAAAUUCAAAAUGAAUCAAAACUUUCAACAACGGAUCUCUUGGUUCUGGCAUCGAUGAAGAACGCAGCGAAAUGCGAUAAGUAAUGUGAAUUGCAGAAUUCAGUGAAUCAUCGAAUCUUUGAACGCACAUUGCGCCCGCCAGUAUUCUGGCGGGCAUGCCUGUCCGAGCGUCAUUUCAACCCUCGAACCCCUCCGGGGGGUCGGCGUUGGGGAUCGGGAACCCCUAAGACGGGAUCCCGGCCCCGAAAUACAGUGGCGGUCUCGCCGCAGCCUCUCCUGCGCAGUAGUUUGCACAACUCGCACCGGGAGCGCGGCGCGUCCACGUCCGUAAAACACCCAACUUCUGAAAUGUUGACCUCGGAUCAGGUAGGAAUACCCGCUGAACUUAAGCAUAUCAA